Molecule: ribosomal RNA, 264 nt
Filed under: Shouchella clausii
Lineage: Bacteria; Bacillati; Bacillota; Bacilli; Caryophanales; Bacillaceae
Description: partial 23S ribosomal RNA
Rfam family: Bacterial large subunit ribosomal RNA
Source: RNAcentral
UGCUCUUCCGAUCUUGCUGAAGCAACAAAUGCCCUGCUUCCAGGAAAAGCCUCUAAGCAUCAGGUAACAUCAAAUCGUACCCCAAACCGACACAGGUGGUCAGGUAGAGAAUACCAAGGCGCUUGAGAGAACUCGGGUGAAGGAACUAGGCAAAAUGGUGCCGUAACUUCGGGAGAAGGCACGCUGAUAUGUAGGUGAGGUCCCUCGCGGAUGGAGCUGAAAUCAGUCGAAGAUACCAGCUGGCUGCAACUGUUUAUUAAAAAC